CGGGACGGGGUGGAGUAAUGUCUGGGAAACUGCCUGAUGGAGGGGGGUAACUACUGGAAACGGUAGCUAAUACCGCAUAACGUCGCAAGACCAAAGAGGGGGACCUUCGGGCCUCUUGCCAUCGGAUGUGCCCAGAUGGGAUUAGCUAGUAGGUGGGGUAACGGCUCACCUAGGCGACGAUCCCUAGCUGGUCUGAGAGGAUGGCCAGCCACACUGGAACUGAGACACGGCCCAG
RNAcentral lists this ribosomal RNA (235 nucleotides) under uncultured bacterium. Its description in RNAcentral is "partial 16S ribosomal RNA". It matches the Rfam family "Bacterial small subunit ribosomal RNA", at positions 104 to 334 of the family's 1533-position model. The record is from RNAcentral.